RNAcentral lists this ribosomal RNA (253 nucleotides) under uncultured bacterium. RNAcentral's name for it is "partial 16S ribosomal RNA". It matches the Rfam family "Bacterial small subunit ribosomal RNA", at positions 524 to 776 of the family's 1533-position model. The record is from RNAcentral.
GACAGAGGGUGCAAACGUUGCUCGGAAUCACUGGGCGUAAAGCGCGUGUAGGCGGGAAGGAAAGUCGGUUGUGAAAUCCCUGAGCUCAACUCAGGAACUGCAUCCGAAACUUCUUUUCUUGAGUGUCGGAGAGGGGAGUGGAAUUCCUGGUGUAGAGGUGAAAUUCGUAGAUAUCAGGAGGAACAUCAGUGGCGAAGGCGGCUCCCUGGACGACAACUGACGCUGAGACGCGAAAGCGUGGGUAGCAAACAGG